UUUCCGUAGGUGAACCUGCGGAAGGAUCAUUAAUAAAUUUUUUUUGAAAUAAAAAAAAAAUAAUAAUCAUCCUACCCUUUGUGAAUUUGUUUGUUCGAAUAAUUUUUUAAAAUUAUUUAUUGUCUAUCCAAGUUGGAAAGUUGUAAAAGCUGAAGACUUGGAGCGGCAUAAAUAAAUUUAAAGACUUUUUUCUAAAAUUAAACUUUUUGUAUUCAUUUGUCUAAAAUAAUUUUUAUAAUAUAUAAAAACAACUUUUGACAAUGGAUCUCUUGGUUCUCGCAACGAUGAAGAACGCAGCAAAAUGCGAUAAGUAAUGUGAAUUGCAGAAUACGUGAAUCAUCGAAUCUUCGAACGCAUAUUGCACUUUUUUAGUUUACUAAAAAGUAUGUCUGUUUGAGUAUCAGUAAAAUAUUCUCAUAAAAUUUUUUAAUUUUAUGGUUAUGAGUGUUUUACAACGAUAAACAAGUUGUUUCACUUUAAAUUGAAUUUUUUGAAGAAAUUCUUUAAUUCAAAUUAAAUUGGAUAAAAUUUUCCCGUAAAAAGGAAUAACUAUACAAGUUUAAUAAGAAUUUAGUGAUUUCUUUUAUAGAAGGAAAUUUAUUAAAUAACUUGAUCUCAAAUCAGAUAGAGUACCCGCUGAACUUAAGCAUAUCAAUAAGCGGAGGAAAAGAAACUAACAAGGAUUCCCCUAGUAACGGCGAGUGAAGCGGGAAGAGCUCAAAUUUGAAAUCUUAAAGGGUUUCCCUUUACGAAUUGUAGUUUAAAGAAGUGUUUUCUGUUGAGGUUUUGGUAAAAGUUCUUUGGAAUAGGACAUCAUAGAGGGUGAGAAUCCCGUAUUUGACCUUUACUCUCAACUUUGUGAUACACUUUCAAAGAGUCGGAUUGUUUGGGAAUGCAGUCCAAAAUGGGUGGUAAAUUUCAUCUAAAGCUAAAUAUUGGCGAGAGACCGAUAGCGAACAAGUACCGUGAGGGAAAGAUGAAAAGAACUUUGAAAAGAGAGUUAAACAGUACGUGAAAUUGUCAAAAGGGAAGCGUUUGACACCAGUGUUGUUUUUCUGAAAAUCAAUUAAAGAACUGUUUAUGCUAAGUUGUUUAGACUUUAUCAGCUAACUGUUUAGUUUUGAGCUUUUCUUUAAUGCACUUUUCAGUUAACAAGUCAACAUCAAUUUCUUUUGCUGUAAAAAAGCUUGAGGAAGGUGGCUUGAGAUUCGUCUUAAGUGUUUAUAGCCUCUUGCCUAUGCAGUCGGAGAGAUUGAGGUCUGCAGCGUAGAUCCUUCGGGGCUAAAUGCAUUUGUGCUAAGUUAUAGCAUUUUAUAGACAACUUGUUGACUAUGAUUUGUCUUGUAGCUUACUCGCUUAUGUUAUUUUACCUACGCUUAGGAUGUUG
RNAcentral lists this unclassified non-coding RNA (1387 nucleotides) under uncultured Neocallimastigales. Its description in RNAcentral is "partial contains small subunit ribosomal RNA, internal transcribed spacer 1, 5.8S ribosomal RNA, internal transcribed spacer 2, and large subunit ribosomal RNA". The stretch from base 611 to 1387 matches the Rfam family "Eukaryotic large subunit ribosomal RNA", at positions 1 to 628 of the family's 3401-position model. Lineage: Eukaryota; Fungi; Neocallimastigomycota; Neocallimastigomycetes; Neocallimastigales. The record is from RNAcentral.